RNAcentral lists this transfer RNA (72 nucleotides) under Phrynosoma platyrhinos (Desert horned lizard). RNAcentral's name for it is "tRNA-OTHER". The stretch from base 9 to 72 matches the Rfam family "tRNA". From Rfam's summary of the family: Transfer RNA (tRNA) molecules are approximately 80 nucleotides in length. Their secondary structure includes four short double-helical elements and three loops (D, anti-codon, and T loops). The record is from RNAcentral. Lineage: Eukaryota; Metazoa; Chordata; Lepidosauria; Squamata; Phrynosomatidae.
GGCAGCUUGGUGUAGUGGUUUGAGCACUGGAUUGUAACUCUGGAGAUCAGGGUUUGAUUCCCUGCUUGGCCA